AACAUGAUGCACACAGUUCCUCCAUCAGCCCGGCCUGCAGACACGCCUGUGGGCAUGUUCUCUGGAGGUUGAUGUAGGAGGAACCAGCACUGUAGACAGGACCCUCUGGGCAGGCUCAAGAGCAGAUGGGGAGAGAACCACUUUUAAUGAAGAUCACGCAGCGAGAGAAGACGAUCUCCUUGUCCCAGCAGAGGCAGGCAACCUCCUGUAAAAUGCUACACAGCAAACAUUUUGACUUGGCAGGCAAUACUGUCGUGACGACUUAAGUCUCCCACUACAGUGCAAAAGCAACUACAGACAGCGAGAAAGCAAGCCUGUGACUGUGCCACUUUACAUGAUGGACAUGAACAAGAGUCUACCUUUCAGAGCUGUAAGACUUCCCCCAACUACUUAAAAAUAAUACAAUAACCAUUUUUAGUAUGCAGACCAGACUAAAACAGAAAACAAGCCAAAUUUAGCCCAGGGGCCACCAUUUGCCAAUCCUUAUUCUUGAUAACAAUGAAGCAAAUGAACAAUGAAACAAACUUCAUUCUCCUAAGCAUCCCUUAUUGCUGUGGAGCACACGUUCCAUGCACAGCCGCUUGCUUGCACAAGACAGAGGCGCUCCUCUCUUCUGUAAGGGUAGCACUCUGGAGUCCACGACUAUGAAGCAUGGCAUGUAAUUAUAUCCAUGUACCAAACACACAAAGUUAUACUUUGAUAUGGGAAGACCUGAGCUCCUUCACAUCUUCUCGUCGUUGCCACCAAGAAAGAGCAGCAGGCUAGAUGCAGAGUGUUUCCCUGAACCAGGAGUGGCCAGCACAAUUCCACCUCCCCACAGGCUCCAAAGUACAUCCUGUGUGACACAGGAGUAA
This 854-nucleotide long non-coding RNA is filed under the name Rattus norvegicus (Norway rat). RNAcentral's name for it is "long non-coding RNA NONRATT020475". Lineage: Eukaryota; Metazoa; Chordata; Mammalia; Rodentia; Muridae. The record is from RNAcentral.